This 643-nucleotide long non-coding RNA is filed under the name Anser brachyrhynchus (Pink-footed goose). RNAcentral describes it as "lncRNA (ENSABRG00000018766.1)". Lineage: Eukaryota; Metazoa; Chordata; Aves; Anseriformes; Anatidae. The record is from RNAcentral.
GAAGGCAGAAUGAGCAAAGGCUGUCGCUUGCAUCCCAGCAGCACUGGGAGAAGGCACUGAGAGCUGCUGCUGCUCUUCUUGGGCUGAGAGACACAGCUGAACCCUGGGAGAGAUGUGGGAGUACAGAGAUGGGGCUGACAUAGGAUUAGGAGAAAAGCAGGAAAAAAUGUCAGUGCUAGAGAUGAGGAUUCAGGGAACAGCUGAAUUGCAGGCUGUAGCCCAUUGGCAUCUUCCGUCUGGCAAUGUGGACUGGAAUAUCCUUGGGAGCAAAGUCAGCAGAGGUUUUUCUUCAGCUGGGUUGCAGUGCAGUUGUAGCUCACCUGAGCAGGCCAGCAAAGGUAAUACGUGACAUUUCUGCCUUGUGUGUGUUUGGGAUGGUGUUCUGCCACAAUACCUGCUUGCUUAUACUUUUUUCUUUGUGAUGUAGUUCAUGGAUGAUAGAUGAGAUACCAGAUGAGGACAGGAACCUUUCUGACUCCGGUUGAGGGACAGGCAAGCACCUGCUUCAGCGGUUCCUUUGCUGCUUCUGUCCUCCUUGGCAAAAGGCUGGCACCUCUAGAGGUGGCUGAGGAGGUGGAAAGGUCUUGGGGAACCCGUCUGUCCUCUCAUUACAGCGAGAAUAAACAUUAACUUAGACUAGACA